This 892-nucleotide ribosomal RNA is filed under the name uncultured bacterium. RNAcentral describes it as "bacterial SSU rRNA". It matches the Rfam family "Bacterial small subunit ribosomal RNA", at positions 28 to 896 of the family's 1533-position model. The record is from RNAcentral.
AACGAACGCUGGCGGCGUGCCUAACACAUGCAAGUCGAACGGAAUGAGGGGGCUUGCUCCUUCAUUUAGUGGCGCACGGGUGAGUAACGCGUAGAUAAUCUGCCUGAUGAUCUGGGAUAACAUCUCGAAAGGGGUGCUAAUACCGGAUAAGCCCACGGGGUCUUUGGACUCUGCGGGAAAAGGGGGGGACCUUCGGGCCUUCUGUCAUCAGAUGAGUCUGCGUACCAUUAGCUAGUUGGUAGGGUAAUGGCCUACCAAGGCGACGAUGGUUAGCUGGUCUGAGAGGAUGAUCAGCCACACUGGAACUGAGACACGGUCCAGACUCCUACGGGAGGCAGCAGUGGGGAAUUUUGCGCAAUGGGCGAAAGCCUGACGCAGCAACGCCGCGUGAGUGAUGAAGGCUUUCGGGUCGUAAAGCUCUGUCAAGGGGAAAGAAGUGUAUUGUGGUUAAUACCCGCGAUACUUGACGGUACCCCUAAAGGAAGCACCGGCUAACUCCGUGCCAGCAGCCGCGGUAAUACGGAGGGUGCAAGCGUUGUUCGGAUUUAUUGGGCGCAAAGCGCGUGUAGGCGGUUUAUUAAGUCUGAUGUGAAAGCCCUGGGCUCAACCCAGGAAGUGCAUUGGAUACUGGUAGACUUGAAUACGGGAGAGGGCAGUGGAAUUCCUGGUGUAGGAGUGAAAUCCGUAGAUAUCAGGAGGAACACCGGUGGCGAAGGCGGCUGCCUGGACCGAUAUUGACGCUGAGACGCGAAAGCGUGGGUAGCAAACAGGAUUAGAUACCCUGGUAGUCCACGCCGUAAACGAUGAGUACUAGGUGUUGCGGGUAUUGACCCCUGCAGUGCCGCAGCUAACGCAUUAAGUACUCCGCCUGGGAAGUACGGUCGCAAGACUA